AUUGAACGCUGGCGGCAUGCCUUACACAUGCAAGUCGAACGGACGAUUCGGGCUUGCUCGAAUCGUUAGUGGCGGACGGCUGAGUAACGCGUGGGUGACCUGCCCCGAAGUGGGGAAUAACUGCCCGAAAGGGUGGCUAAUACCGCAUGUGGUGGUGCGUUCAUUCGUACCAGUAAAGCCGCAAGGCGCUUCGGGAGGGGCCUGCGUCCGAUUAGCUCGUUGGUGGGGUAACGGCUCACCAAGGCGACGAUCGGUAGGUGGUCUGAGAGGACGAUCACCCAGACUGGGACUGAGACACGGCCCAGACUCCUACGGGUGGCUG
This 322-nucleotide ribosomal RNA is filed under the name uncultured Chloroflexota bacterium. Its description in RNAcentral is "bacterial SSU rRNA". It matches the Rfam family "Bacterial small subunit ribosomal RNA", at positions 30 to 351 of the family's 1533-position model. The record is from RNAcentral. Lineage: Bacteria; Bacillati; Chloroflexota.